Molecule: ribosomal RNA, 459 nt
Filed under: uncultured bacterium
Lineage: Bacteria
Description: partial 16S ribosomal RNA
Rfam family: Bacterial small subunit ribosomal RNA
Source: RNAcentral
CCUACGGGUGACUGCAGUGAGGAAUAUUGGUCAAUGGGCGCGAGCCUGAACCAGCCAAGUCGCGUGAGGGAAGACGGUCCUAUGGAUUGUAAACCUCUUCUGUCGGGGAGCAAAAGACGCCACGCGUGGCGUUCCGAGAGUACCCGAAGAAAAAGCAUCGGCUAACUCCGGGCCAGCAGCCGCGGUAAUACGGAGGAUGCGAGCGUUAUCCGGAUGUAUUGGGUUUAAAGGGUGCGCAGGCGGAAGAUCAAGUCAGCGGUAAAAUUGAGGGGCUCAACCUCUUCGAGCCGUUGAAACUGGUUUUCUUGAGUGAGCGAGAGGUAUGCGGAAUGCGUGGUGUAGCGGUGAAAUGCAUAGAUAUCACGCAGAACUCCGGUUGCGAAGGCAGCAUACCGGCGCUCAACUGACGCUCAUGCACGAAAGUGUGGGUAUCGAACAGGAUUAGAUACCCUAGUAGUC